This 73-nucleotide transfer RNA is filed under the name Alkalinema sp. RU_4_3. RNAcentral describes it as "tRNA-His". It matches the Rfam family "tRNA". Rfam says of the family: Transfer RNA (tRNA) molecules are approximately 80 nucleotides in length. Their secondary structure includes four short double-helical elements and three loops (D, anti-codon, and T loops). Further hydrogen bonds mediate the characteristic L-shaped molecular structure. tRNAs have two regions of fundamental functional importance: the anti-codon, which is responsible for specific mRNA codon recognition, and the 3' end, to which the tRNAs corresponding amino acid is attached (by aminoacyl-tRNA synthetases). tRNAs cope with the degeneracy of the genetic code in two manners: having more than one tRNA (with a specific anti-codon) for a particular amino acid; and 'wobble' base-pairing, i.e. permitting non-standard base-pairing at the 3rd anti-codon position. The record is from RNAcentral. Lineage: Bacteria; Bacillati; Cyanobacteriota; Cyanophyceae; Leptolyngbyales; Leptolyngbyaceae.
GCGAGUGUAGCCAAGUGGUUAAGGCAUCGGAUUGUGAUUCCGACAUUCGUGGGUUCAAUUCCCAUCAUUCGCC